CUGGCCCUAAACGAUGUCCACUAGGUUGUGGCACUUUUAACGGUGUCAUGGCCGAAGCAAAAGCAUUAAGUGGACCGCCUGGGAAGUACGGUCGCAAGGCUAAAACUCAAAGAAUUGACGGGGCUCACACAAGCGGUGGAGCAUGUGGUUCAAUUCGAAGCAACGCGCAGAACCUUACCUGGGCUUGACAUGCCAGGAUUAUCCUUAUGAAAGUAAGGUAGGCCCCGCAAGGGGUACAACUGGCACAGGUGCUGCAUGGCUGUCGUCAGCUCGUGUCGUGAGAUGUUGGGUUAAGUCCCGCAACGAGCGCAACCCUUGUCCUAUGUUGCCAGCGGGUUAAGCUGGGCACUCUAAGGGGACUGCCCCAGAUAAUGGG
RNAcentral lists this ribosomal RNA (376 nucleotides) under uncultured bacterium. RNAcentral's name for it is "bacterial SSU rRNA". It matches the Rfam family "Bacterial small subunit ribosomal RNA", at positions 796 to 1165 of the family's 1533-position model. The record is from RNAcentral.